Long non-coding RNA from Marmota flaviventris (yellow-bellied marmot), 2315 nucleotides. RefSeq lists it as uncharacterized. NCBI's taxonomy places the organism in Eukaryota, Metazoa, Chordata, Mammalia, Rodentia, Sciuridae. The record is from RefSeq and is a predicted model, not a curated record.
UGGCAGGCAGAACAGGCAGAGCCUCAGUGGAUCAUUCUUGGUCAAUUCUGCACUUUUUUUCAACCAAAUCUACUUGCCUCGAGGGGAAGCGUCCCAAGGACCAAAAGCAGACCUCAGGCCUCUCUGCAAACCUCCAGGUGGGCAUAGUCAUUGCUGGCACUUCAGAGAGGGGGACCCUCAUGCUGCUGGGUCAUACUGUACAGCCCAGAGGGACAAAGUGGCCAAGAAUGGAGUCAAAGAAGAGCUCAAGAGUAGAACCAAAGAGAAGCUCAAGUCUUGCAGUUCUCCUUGCAGCUGGGGAAGACACUGCUCCAGGUUUGACAUCCCAUGUACCACCUUAGACACAUGCUUCUGGUUAGCGCAGAGCUAGAGUGGACCCCGUGACAUGGGUGAGGCUGAUCAGACCCUGGCAGAAGUCCUAAAGGAAACGUGGAAGAGUUUCUUGAUAAAGGAACAAGCGCGGCUACCGCCAUUCUCUUUCCCUUCCUUCUCUCUUUGAACACACACACCACACCUGUGGCUGCUUUUCUGCUAGAACGUUCCACCAGGAUGGAAAAUUCCACAUCUGCACUGGGCCACCGCGGUAGUCACUGCACCUGGGAACUGGAUUAUUUUUCAUUUUCAUUUUGAAUCAUCUACAUUUAAAUUUAAAUGGCCACCUGUGUUUAGCAGCACCCUUCUUGGGCCAGGGCUACAGAAUCACUCAAUCUCUGGCUCUGAGGUUGAGCUCUCUCUCUCUCCAGACUCCUUCUAAUAUAAGAUAAAUAAAUCACUCCUUUUAAUCCGCCAUGAAUCAGGUUUCUGGGACCUGCAGUUAAAUGUAUUCUAACUGAUACUGCCAGGGGGAGACUAGGAGGCCCAGGGCAGAAAGGAGCGGGAAGCCAAUUCCUCUACCCUCCGACACAAACUUCUCUGAUUAAAGGCACUCAGUUCUCACCCAGCCAAGGUGGGGGUAGCUGAGAGUCUAGGGCCAAAGUGAAGUGUGGAGCAAGAGGUGCCCGGCACCCCCAUGUCCCAGCAUGGGUCCUUUCCCUGCCACACCCACCUCUCGGGCAAGCCACGUCCUGCCGCCUCGGACAUGCUCAUCCCCGUGCGACCAUGGAGGACGAGGGAGCCUCUCCUGCCUCGCUCAGCGAGCCAUCUCAGGGCUCAGCUCAGAAUGGACGCUAACACAUUUUGUAAACAGUGAAGUGCCGGUGAGGAGAUUCCUGGGGAACACCAUCCCAGAAAAGACUAGAACCUCAGAGAGUCCACCACCUGCUAGGACAGGCAAGGACUGCUGGCAUAGUGCUCUGGUUGGCUCCUGAGGCCUGGACUUGGUGGUCAGCUGGGAGAGUCCCACCAGCCUUGGCGAGGGCCACGUGGGGGCGUGACCAGAGGGCUCAGAUCUCGUGGAUCAGCAGGGAGCAGGAACAAGUACUGGCCCCUUGAGUGACCAUCUCGGUGGGUACCUGGAUUGACUGUGGAUCGGUUCCCUGAACACCGGUCACAUGACUGAAGCCUCACCCCUGCCCCACGGUAGGAAGUUCUACCCCCUAGUCACACGGGGUCAGACGUGAGCACAGAGGUCCGCAGGAGGCCAGCAGAGCUUCUGGGAUCUCUUAGAAGGAGGGAGCUGGCAGAAUGGUUCCUUCCAGGAAAUGCAGAGAGAACCUCAGAGGCCCAGAGUGAGGGCACCCCUCAGAGGAGCAGAAGCUUGCGGAGCUCACCAGGGAGAGGACAGGGUGGGAAGCAGUUUGGUCCAGUAAAGCAGACUCCAGGCUAAAGAAUGGAGCAGUGUCGGUCCACCUGACACAGGAAUCUAGGGACACAGAGAAAACACCGAGGCUCAAAAGAAAAAUGUCCAUGAAUCACUGAAAGGCAGAACAAGCAACCCCAGCCACAUCCUUGCCCCUGAGGUGCUGCUGCCCACAACUAGCACCAAAACCUGCGAGAUGACCAGAGGGCACCUGGAGGCACCACUCCUUGGGCUCCUUAGGGAGCAGAUGUAUGAAAGACAGGCGACCCAAAGUUAUCCUUGCUUCGUUGUAAUAGUAAGAUGCCACCCUCAGGUGGGGAUUUGAGGUGCUAAUGAGACUCGAGAUGCAGAAAGUAGCAUGAAUAGAACAUUCGAGAACAGUGGGUAACCACAAGGAAAACUGGGGCGACACCAUGUCACCCUGCCCUGACCGACUUUAGCUCAGCGCCCCCAGCUACUUUAUAAAUAUUAGAACCCCAGAUUGGGAUGGAGUGACUCUCUUUCUCUGAGGUCACCCACAUUCCCAUUCUCGAGUUAGUACUUUCCCCUUUGUAAUAAAUCUCCUGCCUGCUCUUCA